GCAUACAAUAUUACCACAUAGUUUCUCAUCAUAUGUAAAUAUCUAGUCUCCCACAGAGUGUAAAACAGAAAAUAAAAAAAUAAAAACAAAGAGUUAAAAUCAGACAAAAUACUUAAAUUAAAUAGUAGAAUACAAUUAACCAUAAUAUAAAUUUAAAAGAUAAAUAUAGCCUUUAUAACAUAUUAAUCAAGAUAUUUUUGCUUCAUGUAAUGUAAACCAUUUGACCUUAAAAUCUUUUUCAUUUAUUGUUCUCUUUUCAAGGGCCAUAACUUUAAAUAUGUAUUCUUCCGAUGUUUCAUUCUCGUUCUGGAAUUAUUUUUAAAAUACCUGAUACAAGUGGAAAAUAGUAAUAAAUUUAUUAAAUAUCAUAAUCAAAGUUAACUCUGUGAAAAAAUUGUGUAUUUACAAUGAGUAGUUUCUUAGUAAUAUUUUUUCAAAUUUUAUCACCAAUCAAAUCAAGUCUUUUUAGCCAAAAUUUUUAGAAAUGGGUGAGGGGUAAAAGAAAUUAUCUUACCAGAAAUAUGUUCAUCUAAUAGCCCUUUUUUUCUUUUCAAAGGACUAGGGGCUAUAAAGGCCAUUUUUUGGCCCCACCCCCAAAUUUCAUUUAAUUUAUCAUGUUGUAACUCUAUACCAUAAUUGCAUUUUGGGUCUAACUCGUUUAUUCUGUUGCCUAGCAACCAAUAUAAUGGUGGAGUUAAAGUCAUCAAAUAUGUUUAAUAUAUUAGAUUUGUUUUUGCGAUAAUAGCCAAAAAUGGGUAAAAAUUGACAGAAAAAUGGGAAAAUCAUCCAAAUUGGGUACUUUCAAAGGGCAGCAAAAAAAAAAAAAAGUGCACACUCAUAUGAUUUUUUCUUCACCAAUCAUUUUUUUAUAGUCCUUUAAACCCAAAAAUCAGGUUAAGCAAAAAAGUUUAAUUCUAGAAAUUUUUGGCUCGUCAGAGGUGUACAUCCUUAAAUGGUCAGUGAAGUAUUCCAGUACAGUAAAUUGUACAGCAAAAUGACCUCCACCAACAUAGCAAAAAUUAGACCCAAACAAAAAUUUCCCGAUAUAUGUUAAUAUUUUCUUCCAUCUUGUAAGUAAAAAAUACACUAAUGAAAUGAAAAUAAAGAAAAAGUCACAGUUUCUGUGACCCGCAUUGUUUCAGUUAAAUCAGUUAUGACUAUUGAACAGCAGUAAUCAGUAUACUACUAUUGCCUUCAUUUUUGAUAAGCUGACAUUUUUUUCUGAAUCCUUGAGCAUAUUCCCUGAAUCAAAUGAACAAUCAUAUCUAUAAAAAUUCAAAAAUUUUACUAAAAUUGACAUUCCGUUGAGUCUGAAUUUAGUUUUCCUAAGUUUACUG
This 1337-nucleotide long non-coding RNA is filed under the name Mytilus galloprovincialis (Mediterranean mussel). The record is from RNAcentral. Lineage: Eukaryota; Metazoa; Mollusca; Bivalvia; Mytilida; Mytilidae.